This 253-nucleotide ribosomal RNA is filed under the name uncultured bacterium. RNAcentral's name for it is "partial 16S ribosomal RNA". It matches the Rfam family "Bacterial small subunit ribosomal RNA", at positions 524 to 776 of the family's 1533-position model. The record is from RNAcentral.
UACAGAGGUCUCAAGCGUUGUUCGGAUUCAUUGGGCGUAAAGCGCGCGUAGGCGGCCAGAUAAGUCCGGUGUGAAAGUCACAGGCUCAACCUGUGAAUGCCGCUGGAAACUGUCUGGCUUGAGUCCGGAAGGGGCGAGUGGAAUUCCUGGUGUAGCGGUGAAAUGCGCAGAUAUCAGGAGGAACACCAAUGGCGAAGGCAGCUCGCUGGAACGGUACUGACGCUGAGGCGCGAAAGCGUGGGGAGCGAACAGG